This 399-nucleotide small RNA is filed under the name Arabidopsis thaliana (thale cress). RNAcentral's name for it is "ATSL133200". The record is from RNAcentral. Lineage: Eukaryota; Viridiplantae; Streptophyta; Magnoliopsida; Brassicales; Brassicaceae.
AGCCCAACUAUGAAGCCCAACAAGAAGAAACCGCAUCAGAAGAGAUAUCAAUCUUAUUCUUAGCCCAACACAUUACCAAAAAGAAAUCUUAUUCUUAGCCCAACAAGCAGAGAGAGAGAGAGACUCAGACUACCUUAGGGAUCCGUUUUUCAACUUUCCCCCAAUUUCUCUCCAGAAAUCGAAUCGAACUUUGUUCUUCUUCUUCGUCCAAGCUUUAGAAUCGAAAAUCGAUGGCGGAUCAAAGUUGUAAGCCGUUGCAGUUUUUCGUGAGACUACUCGACGGAAAAUCAGUAACCCUAACCUUUUCCUCUCCGAUAGCGUGUGGCGAGCAGAUCAAGCAGCGGAUCUUCGAGCAAACGAAGAUUCCGACGCAUCUACAGAGAUUGAUAAGCGGAGGAU